UAGUCUGGGAUACCACUUGGAAACAGGUGCUAAUACCGGAUAAGAAAGCGGAUCGCAUGAUCAGCUUUUAAAAGGCGGCGUAAGCUGUCGCUAUUGGGAUGGCCCCGCGGUGCAUUAGCUAGUUGGUAAGGUAAAGGCUUACCAAGGCGAUGAUGCAUAGCCGAGUUGAGAGACUGAUCGGCCACAUUGGGACUGAGACACGGCCCAAACUCCUACGGGAGGCAGCAGGC
RNAcentral lists this ribosomal RNA (230 nucleotides) under uncultured Lactobacillus sp. RNAcentral's name for it is "partial 16S ribosomal RNA". It matches the Rfam family "Bacterial small subunit ribosomal RNA", at positions 134 to 354 of the family's 1533-position model. The record is from RNAcentral. Lineage: Bacteria; Bacillati; Bacillota; Bacilli; Lactobacillales; Lactobacillaceae.